RNAcentral lists this non-coding RNA (24 nucleotides) under Arabidopsis thaliana (thale cress). The record is from RNAcentral. Lineage: Eukaryota; Viridiplantae; Streptophyta; Magnoliopsida; Brassicales; Brassicaceae.
UCACUUUCUGCCAACUAUAUGCCU